Molecule: non-coding RNA, 129 nt
Organism: Aptenodytes forsteri (emperor penguin)
Lineage: Eukaryota; Metazoa; Chordata; Aves; Sphenisciformes; Spheniscidae
Source: Rfam
CAGGCUGGGUUGUCAUGCGACUGCCUGUCUGUGCCUGCUGUACAGGUGAGAGGAUGGUUUGGACAACAAGAGUAGGAGAGGAUGUUCUGCACAGCAAGUGUAGACAGGCAGACACAUGACAACUCCGUC